This 2224-nucleotide long non-coding RNA is filed under the name Malus domestica (apple). Its description in RNAcentral is "long non-coding RNA (MDOM_LNC006246)". The record is from RNAcentral. Lineage: Eukaryota; Viridiplantae; Streptophyta; Magnoliopsida; Rosales; Rosaceae.
GAUUGUGAGGAUUGGGAGAGCAUCCAGAGGAAAACACAAGUGAGAGAAAAUAUAGAGUGAGAGUGAGAAACUCUUAGGGAGAGUAAGACUCUUGGGAAAAUUCUGUGAGGGUACAAGGGAUUGGGGUUUGGGUUAUGUCGAUUUAACUCAAGUGUAUCUUGUACUAGUUAUUCUCAUAGUGAAGAGUAAUAUCUCCGGGGACGUAGGCAGGUUUUUGCCGAACCUCGUAAAUUUCUCGGUGUCUUUAUUUCUUGUAUUUUAUUCUGUUCAACUGAGUGUGAUUUUUUGGUGAGGUUGUAAUUUGAAUCUCGAUUCUGCACUAACGAACGGACCAAAGCACAACAAUUGGUAUCAGAGCUUUGUUGGAAGCUUUGGUUCAUUGACGGUUCAGAUUUUUUAUUCACCAUGAUGACUACAAACAUGUCAUUUUCAGUUGAGAAGUUUAAUGGGAAAGGAAGUUUUACUCUUUGGCAGAUGAGAGUAAAGGAUGUCUUGACUCAACAAGGCUUGGCUAGAGCUUUGAAGGGAAAAGAUGGGAAGCCUCAAGAAAUGACAGAUGACCAGUGGGAGGAGCUGGAGGCGCGUUGUGUUAGCACGAUUCGACACUGUAUAGCUGAUAACAUUAUCAAUAAUGUUAUGGAUGAAGAUUCUGCGCCUGCACUUUGGGAGAAGUUGGAAAAACUCUAUAUUGCUAAGAGUUUGACCAACAAGUUGCAUUUGAAGCGGAAACUGUACAAGCUGAAGAUGGAUGAAGGUGGGAAUCUCAUGGACCACAUGAAUGAGUUCAACGGAUACUUGGAUCAAUUGCGGAAAGUUGAUGUUAAGGUUGAGGAAGAAGACAAAGCCCUCUUACUUCUUACCUCACUUCCAAAUUCGUAUGAAAAAUCUUGUGACAACCUUACUGCAUGGAAAAGAUACAGUAAGUUUGGAGCAGGUGCAAGCUUCUUUGGUGUCUUAUGAUACACAAAAGAAGAAGACCAUUGUUGAUGGUGGGCACGAGACUGCUUUAGCUGUUCAAGGUUGGAAUCGUGGAAGAAAAUUGGGAGAAGGAUCUGAGAGAGACAACAGGUUCAAAUCCGGUUCCGGAGGCAAAGGUCUACAAUGCUACAACUGCAAAGAAUUCGGGCAUAAAAAGAAAAAUUGUCCUUUGAGAAAAAGAAAGGAUGAUCUUGGUACGGGUUGUAGCAAUUUUGUGGCGGAAGACUUCGAGUAUGCCCUCUAGGUACUCGAAGCAACACUUCUCCUGGUGAUGUUUAGUCUCAAGUGUCGCAGGGGUUUUGCAACAGGUGGAGCUAUGGGAUUCACAGGUGAUGAGAUGAUCAUGAGGUAGGAGGAAGUGUGGGAAUUUUGUCUGGCUCGAUGGGUUGUUACUGGAAACGGGCGCGUUGACGAGUUUCCAGGUUGCAGACAAUGAAGAGGAGGAAAACCUGCUGGAGGAGACGAGGAUGUGUCGAGAUCCUGUCUGAAGCUAAAUGGUGAUUUUUAGCUUGCAGCAGCUGCACAUGCAUUGGCAGUGACUGAAUCAGGAAUAGGACCAACGAGGUUGAUUCAGGGUGUGUAUGCUGGUACGUAAGGCCAAUGGACAUUGGUGAUGGGUGCAAGGAUUUUUGCACAGUAUAUUCGCCAAGGUGGAGAUUGUUGUGUUUGGCUCAUAUAAUUAUGAGUUGGCAACCAUUUCCUCUCAACUUUGUGGACUUUGGAAGCAUGUUUUGUGGAAGCAUGUUUUGAGGAAGCAUGUUUUGUGGAAGCAUGUUUUGAGGAAGCAUGUUUUGUGGAAGCAUGUUUUGUGGAAGCAUGUUUUGUGGUUGACAUAAUUGAUGGUGCAUGUCUAUAAGUGAAGGCAUUUUUCACACACAAAAUGAAGAGAGCUUGCCGAUUGUGAGGAUUGGGAGAGCAUCCAGAGGAAAACACAAGUGAGAGAAAAUAUAGAGUGAGAGUGAGAAACUCUUAGGGAGAGUAAGACUCUUGGGAAAAUUCUGUGAGGGUACAAGGGAUUGGGGUUUGGGUUAUGUCGAUUUAACUCAAGUGUAUCUUGUACUAGUUAUUCUCAUAGUGAAGAGUAAUAUCUCCGGGGACGUAGGCAGGUUUUUGCCGAACCUCGUAAAUUUCUCGGUGUCUUUAUUUCUUGUAUUUUAUUCUGUUCAACUGAGUGUGAUUUUUUGGUGAGGUUGUAAUCUGAAUCUCGAUUCUGCACUAACGAACGGACCAAAGCACAACACAAAAG